Molecule: ribosomal RNA, 398 nt
Filed under: uncultured bacterium
Lineage: Bacteria
Description: partial 16S ribosomal RNA
Rfam family: Bacterial small subunit ribosomal RNA
Source: RNAcentral
AUACGUAGGGUGCGAGCGUUGUCCGGAAUUACUGGGCGUAAAGAGCUCGUAGGUGGUUUGUCGCGUCGUCUGUGAAAUUCCGGGGCUUAACUCCGGGCGUGCAGGCGAUACGGGCAUAACUUGAGUACUGUAGGGGAGACUGGAAUUCCUGGUGUAGCGGUGAAAUGCGCUGAUAUCAGGAGGAACACCGGUGGCGAAGGGGGUUCUCUGGGCAGUAACUGACGCUGAGGAGCGAAAGCAUGGGUAGCGAACAGUAUUAGAUACCCUGGUAGUCCAUGCCGUAAACGGUGGGCGCUAGGUGUAGGGGUCUUCCACGACUUCUGUGCCGUAGCUAACGCAUUAAGCGCCCCGCCUGGGGAGUACGGCCGCAAGGCUAAAACUCAAAGGAAUUGACGGGG